Molecule: transfer RNA, 73 nt
Filed under: Bos taurus (domestic cattle)
Lineage: Eukaryota; Metazoa; Chordata; Mammalia; Artiodactyla; Bovidae
Also listed under: 5 other names
Rfam family: tRNA
About the family: Transfer RNA (tRNA) molecules are approximately 80 nucleotides in length.
Source: Rfam by way of RNAcentral
UCCCUGGUGGGUCCAGGGGUAGGACUCUGUGCUCUCAAGGCAGGGGACUUGGGUUCAAUCCCUGGUCAGGGAA